GCCCUCGGGCUGCUCGUCGCCGCGUCUUCUCCUCCAGCCGGGAGCCCGAGCCGAGCGCAGCGUUGAGGAUUAACUCCGCCGAAGCACGGGGCCGCGCGGGACGGGGGCAUCCACGCAGAGCUCGCAGGGAGCUCCGCAGGGAGCACGGCAUUAAGCCAGGCGGGGCAUCGCGUAGCCGCUCCCUCGCAGAAGUCCCCAAGGUAAAAGCCGACGAUUGGUGCCUUUCGGACAGCACAGGGCUCUGGGUUCUUGGAUUUUUUAUUUAUUUAUUUAUUUAUUUAUUUUGUGGGUUUGUUUUUUUUUUUUUUUUUCCGGGAUUUUGUUUUUAAAGGCAUCGAUCGGGAGAUGCGGGCAGAAAUUGCUGCUGCUGCUGGGGCCGGGAGCUGUGCACCUCCGGAGCACACCGGGAGCAGCUGAACUUUGGCGCUGGGGAAGAUCCAUUUCUCCUCCGUAAACACUUUGGGGACGACCACAGCGCAUCACCGCACACCCAGCGCUGCAGCACCCGGUGCUGGAGCGACACUGGGGGGGUUCAUCUCUCACCAAGGACGGACACCUGUGUAAAGAGCUGGGGAAGGGCAAUUCGUCUUUCUUUUCCAGAUGACUGAAAAUACCAACAGGAUCGUGGCUCUUUGCUUUCCAUCAGCAAGUGGCAUUAGGGAGAGGCAGCUGAGGAAUGGAAAUGAUGUUGCUCCAAUUCUUCCCAGCAUCUACUUUUUCCCAAGGGACUCCGUGCCCAUAGGGGUUUGCUGCAUGCAUGUCCAGCAGUGAGGACAGCGGUACCACGGAUGCAUCCCAACCGGAUCAUGUAAGAAUUUGAUACUGAGAAACCCACUCCAGUGAGACUUUCUCUGCCUGAAGUAUAUGGUUCGGUGUAAGCACAGCAAUUUUUGCCUAUUUCUCUCCCUUUUACAUCUCUUGGGCUUGGAGAUCUCUGCCCUCAUUGCAACUAUGCUCAUUUGCAACAUCAGUGCCAUCAAAGAUUGGAGCACUUUCCUCUCCCAGAUCCUCCCCAGCGUGAACAAGACCCUGAACUUGGUGCAGCAAGUGGAGGCCACUACCAGCUCAGUGGUGAGCGUCCUGCAGGACCCCGAGCAGGACAGCUACCUGGCCAACAGCCAGCCCAUGAACUCCAGCAACUUCACGGCCGGCCUAGACCACUUGUUUCAGUACUCUUACUCCGACAAUGACCAGCUGUACAAGGAGUACAAACCCCCUCCUCGCGACGCCAUCCCUCUGCCCAAGGCUGUCCUCUACCUCCUCAUGGCAGCCCUGGUGGUGGUGGCAGUGGCAUACGCCAUCGUUGGGCACCUCAUCAAGGACCUCAUCCAUGACUUUAUAGAUUGGAUCUUCGGCCCCAACCCAGAUGACAACAGCAACAAAAGCGACGUCAACUGCAUCACCAGCAGCGUCAAUGAGAUGAGCGAGAUGCCCGAGGUGCCGCGCCACCACGACCGCCAGCCCCAGGACGUGGUCAUCGCCAUCGGCGAGACCUGCCACCUGCCACAGCAGACGUGAGCAGUGUGAUGGCAUGAGCACGGCGGGGAAGGACCAGGGGAAAUCUCCUUGUUCGCCUCUACUGCCGACAGAGGACUGUCUGCUGCUGAGCAACCGGCGCUGCAGGGAUGGGGGCAAAGGGAAAGGGGCUGCGGGAUGGGCAGAGCGCGCGGGGCAAAGCCCUCCAGGCUCAAAGGACAUUGCCAGGGCCAUGGGAUCGUCAGUCCUGUGGGUCCAUCAGCUUCCUUGUUUUCCCCGUGAAUAGCAAAAAAGCAAAUGGAGAAAUACAGCGAGCAGAGGCGAGGCGGAGAGAAGGGUGGUCCUUUGGUAUGCGGCUAUCCUGCGUCAUGGGAAUGGGGUGUUGGGAAGGGCAAAGUGGGGAGACAAGGAAGACGUACAAGAAAUACAUGUCCCUACAAAUCUCUCCCAGCAUAUCCAUGCAGUUGGAGAGAUGAUGCUGGAGGGGAGGGCAGGGACCCACCAGCAGUGAACAGAGCUGUUUGGGUCCCCAUUAGCUGCAUCCCUGGCUCACCCCUUUGGGUUCCCUUUGUCACCUCCAAGCUGUGUGACUCCCUGAGGGUGUGCUGGGUUCACCACAGCCACACGUGUGAUGUUUGAAGCCAGGAUCCACCACUUCUCUGCACUGCACAGCUCUCUACAUCUUUUCCAAAUUCAAAAAAGGCCAGAGAGGCUGAUCCCAAGCAGAGUCAAUUACCCAGCCCCAGGUACCCAUAGCAGGGGUUGGAGC
This 2245-nucleotide long non-coding RNA is filed under the name Chrysolophus pictus (golden pheasant). Its description in RNAcentral is "lncRNA (ENSCPIG00010005403.1)". The record is from RNAcentral. Lineage: Eukaryota; Metazoa; Chordata; Aves; Galliformes; Phasianidae.